Molecule: ribosomal RNA, 1982 nt
Filed under: fermentation metagenome
Description: bacterial LSU rRNA
Rfam family: Bacterial large subunit ribosomal RNA
Source: RNAcentral
UUAAGCUACUAAGGGCACAUGAUGAAUGUCUUGGCACUGACAGGCGAAGAAGGACGUGGCAAGCUGCGAAAAGCUUCGGGGAGUCGCACACAGACUUUGAUCCGGAGAUAUCCGAAUGGGGCAACCCGGCACCGGUAAUGCGGUGUCACCUGUCGCUGAAUAAAUAGGCGGCAGGAGCGAUACGUAGGGAAGUGAAACAUCUCAGUACCUACAGGAAAAGAAAUCAACCGAUAUUCCGCUAGUAGUGGCGAGCGAACGCGGAAAAGCCUAAACCAGAGGGUUUACUCUCUGGGGUUGCGGGACUUUAAUAUGGUACGGUAAACGGUUAGCAGAACGUUCUGGAAAGGACGGCGAUACAGGGUGACAGCCCCGUAAGCGAAAACCGUUUCCGAUCUAUAAGUAUCCCAAGUAGGGCGGUGCACGUGAAACUCCGUCUGAAUCUGGGGGGACCACCCUCCAAGGCUAAAUACUAGUCAGUGACCGAUAGUGAACAAGUACCGUGAGGGAAAGGUGAAAAAGAACCCCGGGAGGGAAGUUAAAAGAACCUGAAAUCAUGUGUCUACAAAGUGUGGGAGCGAAAGCGACCGCAUGCCUUUUGCAUAAUGAGUCUGCGAGUUACUCUAUACAGCAAGGUUAAGUCAAGGACGUAGCCGAAGCGAAAGCGAGUGUGAAUAGCGCGUCAAGUUGUAUGGAGUAGACCCGAAACUGGGUGAUCUAUCCAUGGCCAGGUUGAACCUCCGGUAACACGGAGUGGAGGACCGAACCAGUUCAUGUUGAAAAAUGUUUGGAUGAGCUGUGGAUAGGGGUGAAAGGCCAAUCAAACCCAGUGAUAGCUGGUUCUCUUCGAAAUAGCUUGAGGGCUAGCCUCGUGUUUAAUUAGUACGUGGGGGUAGAGCACUGAAUGUUAGCGGGCCCAUACCAGGGUACCAAAAACUAUCAAACUCCGAAUACCAUGUACCGUAUCACGGGAGUCAGACUGUGGGGGAUAAGCUUCAUAGUCAAAAGGGCGACAGCCCAGACCGCCGGCUAAGGUCCCUAAUCUGAACUGAGUGGAAUGAAGGAUGUAGAGCUGCGUAAACAACCAGGAUGUUGGCUUAGAGGCAGCCAUCAUUUAAAGAGUGCGUAAUAGCUCACUGGUCUAGUGGUUCCGCGCCGAAGAUGAUCGGGACUAAGUUCAGAACCGAAGCCGCGGAUUCCUCGUUAAGAGGAAUGGUAGAAGAGCGUUGUAUACGGAUUGAAGCCGAUAAGUGAUUGGAGGUGGACUGUAUACAAGUGACCAUGCAGACAUGAGUAGCGAAAAACCAGAUGAGAAUUCUGGUCACCGAAAACCCAAGGUUUCCUGGGGCAGGUUCGUCCGCCCAGGGUUAGUCGGAUCCUAAGGCGAGGCCGAAAGGCGUAGUCGAUGGACAACAGGUUAAUAUUCCUGUACCACCUUGUGUGAGUGAUGGAGGGACGCAGAAAGCUAGAUGAGCCGGCUGCUGAAUAUGCCGGUCGAAGAUCGUAGGGCGCGCUGUAGGCAAAUCCGCAGCGCAUACGCCUGAGAAUUGACAGGCUCUUGAACUUCGGUUCAGGAGAAUCAUCGAUGCUACACUGACGAGAAAAGCUCCUAAACGUCGAUCACAGGGUGUCCGUACCGUAAACCGACACAGGUGGGUGAGGCGAGAAGCCUAAGGUGCGCGAGAGUAACCACGUUAAGGAACUCGGCAAAUUAGCCCCGUAACUUCGGAAGAAGGGGUGCCGCCAUUACGUAAAGGGAUUUACUCCCCGAGCGGAAGGCGGUUGCAACAAAGAGGCUGGUGCGACUGUUUAACAAAAACACAGCUCUCUGCUAACUCGUAAGAGGAUGUAUAGGGAGUGACACGUGACCAAUGCCAAAAGGUCAAUGUAAGGUGUUAGCCGCAAGGCGAAGCUCCGAACUGAAGCCCUGGUGAAUGUCGGCCGUAACUAUAACGGUCCUAAGGUAGCGAAAUUCCUUGUCGGGU